This 481-nucleotide ribosomal RNA is filed under the name uncultured bacterium. Its description in RNAcentral is "bacterial SSU rRNA". It matches the Rfam family "Bacterial small subunit ribosomal RNA", at positions 28 to 507 of the family's 1533-position model. RNAcentral also lists the same sequence under 1 other name. The record is from RNAcentral.
GAUGAACGCUGGCGGCGUGCUUAACACAUGCAAGUCGAACGAAGCUCCUAAACCUGAGAUUCGUCAAGGGGGCGGGAUGACUUAGUGGCGGACGGGUGAGUAAUGCGUGAGCAACCUGCCCUUCAGAGGGGGACAACAGUUGGAAACGACUGCUAAUACCGCAUAAUGUAUCGAGAAGGCAUCUUUUUGAUACCAAAGAUUUAUCGCUGAAGGAUGGGCUCACGUCUGAUUAGCUAGUUGGUGAGGUAAUGGCUCACCAAGGCUGCGAUCAGUAGCCGGACUGAGAGGUUGGCCGGCCACAUUGGGACUGAGAUACGGCCCAGACUCCUACGGGAGGCAGCAGUGGGGAAUAUUGGGCAAUGGGCGCAAGCCUGACCCAGCAACGCCGCGUGAAGGAAGAAGGCUUUCGGGUUGUAAACUUCUUUUGGCAGGGACGAAACAAAUGACGGUACCUGCAGAAUAAGCUCCGGCUAACUACGUG